GCCGCUGUAGCUCAGCCUGGUUAGAGCGCUACGCUCAUAACGUAGAAGUCGCGGUUUCAAAUACCGCCAGCGGCA
This 75-nucleotide transfer RNA is filed under the name Candidatus Woesearchaeota archaeon. RNAcentral describes it as "tRNA-Met". It matches the Rfam family "tRNA". Rfam says of the family: Transfer RNA (tRNA) molecules are approximately 80 nucleotides in length. Lineage: Archaea; Nanobdellati; Candidatus Woesearchaeota. The record is from RNAcentral.